AGCGAACGCUGGCGGCAUGCCUAACACAUGCAAGUCGAACGAGAUCUUCGGGUCUAGUGGCGCACGGGUGCGUAACGCGUGGGAAUCUGCCCUUUGGUUCGGAAUAACAGUUGGAAACGACUGCUAAUACCGGAUGAUGACGAAAGUCCAAAGAUUUAUCGCCAGAGGAUGAGCCCGCGUAGGAUUAGCUAGUUGGUGUGGUAAAGGCGCACCAAGGCGACGAUCCUUAGCUGGUCUGAGAGGAUGAUCAGCCACACUGGGACUGAGACACGGCCCAGACUCCUGCGGGAGGAAGCAGUGGGGAAUAUUGGACAAUGGGCGAAAGCCUGAUCCAGCAAUGCCGCGUGAGUGAUGAAGGCCUUAGGGUUGUAAAGCUCUUUUACCCGGGAUGAUAAUGACAGUACCGGGAGAAUAAGCUCCGGCUAACUCCGUGCCAGCCGCCGCCGUAA
Molecule: ribosomal RNA, 449 nt
Filed under: uncultured bacterium
Lineage: Bacteria
Description: partial 16S ribosomal RNA
Rfam family: Bacterial small subunit ribosomal RNA
Source: RNAcentral